Molecule: long non-coding RNA, 1457 nt
Organism: Brienomyrus brachyistius
Lineage: Eukaryota; Metazoa; Chordata; Actinopteri; Osteoglossiformes; Mormyridae
Exons: 2
Source: RefSeq, a predicted model, not a curated record
CGCCUCCGGGCACGUGAGCUGGCGUUUUCGGGCGGAGAGGUGUGGAAGCAUGGUGUACUAUAGAUAGUUCGCUAUUAAUUUAUUCUCACUUUAAUGAGGAGCAUUGGGGGGGCGGCUGCCGCCGCCGCCAAUGAGCAUGGGGGGCAGGAAUGAGGCUUAUGCCGAAACACAGUGACCCCAUGGGAAACCUAAACUGCCACCGCAAAGAGUGCGAGUAAGACAUGGAGAGAGAAGGAACACAUGGGAAGGUGGCAGUAGGAAGAGGAGAACGGAGGGAUGGGAAAAGACGAAGGAAGAUGGGGGAGGGAUUCUGAGAGGCUGGAAGAUUGAUGGAAGGACAGGAGGUAGAGAUAUAGCAAGCUGUAACCUUCACUGGCUUCCCUUGUUUACAGGUGAUCAGAGUAUAGACUUCAUCCGACCUUCUCCCAUGCCGAUCUGUGCUUACAUCGCUCUAUGGUGGCUGACUGGUGGGGAUGCUGGCCAGCCACUUGGUCUGGUUGGAGACCCAUAAAGGUUUAUAUACCUGCUAUAAGGCUUCAUCUGACUUCACCAAACUUUUGACAUGGUUUACCAUUAACCAUUGAUAUGUUUGCUACACUACACUCUUCUUUAUUAGAUUUCCCUGAAGGUACAGUGCUGCUGCUAAUCGCUUGUUGAAUGCUUUGAGGAAACGAUAUUGGGAAUAGUCCUAUUUAAGGAGCUGAAUUGAAGUGAAGUGAAUUGAAUUGAACUGAAUUACAUCACGUUAAGCUUGAGGCUAACACAUGGCUGAAUACGUUUUCAGCGGUUAUAUCCUGUGUUUCUACUCAUGUUUGAAAGGGUUUUUUUUUUUUAAUGCCCAUACACCGACAUCUGUGCUUGCCAGUGCAGGGCGCAGCAUCACAUUCAUUAAGUCACGUGUGCUGGGCGUGAUUCCAGAUCCCUAAACGGGGAAUCAGGAAAACCGAAGAUGCGGGUGAAAAGAGGUCUGGCGAUGACAAGCUUGCAGGGGCGGCCAGUCAAUCCAGGCUCAUCUGACCGCCGCCACUUGGCUUCUCUGUGCCGGCCGUCUUAGUCGCUCAUGACAAAGGCUGCUAUUGCGUCUUAUCAGUCUUCAGUGACAGCACUACAAAGCCGAACCUCUCUGCUUUCCCUUAGCAUUUACUGUAUUUGUGUCUAACAUCAGAAUGGACUGUCUCCCCCCCCCCCUCCCUUUCACCCUUUCUGUCUAAUUCUGAUGUCUUUGCCUUCCUCUGUGACAUCCGUUCAGAGAUCAUUCCUUAUUUGCAUCUGCACGGAGGACAGGUCUCACCCUUUCGCCAGCACUAGAUAAUUGCGUUGGCUUUCGACCGGAGUGCCCCUCUCUUACAAGCCCUACUGAAACACAAGCACGGUAUGUCCUCGCGGGGAAGGUCACAUAUUAUUUGGGGAGCUGUCAGGGAGUCCCAUUACGAUGACACAAUAAAGAAUCGAGAGAG